AUACGAAAGGUGCAAGCGUUGUUCGGAUUUACUGGGCGUAAAGAGAUCGUAGGUGGUUUGUUAAGUCGGAUGUUAAAUCCCGGGGCUCAACCCCGGAACUGCAUUCGAUACUGGCAGACUAGAGUUUGGGAGGGGUAAGCGGAAUUCCGUGUGUAGCAGUGAAAUGCGUAGAUAUACGGAGGAACACCUGAGGCGAAGGCGGCUUACUGGACCAAUACUGACACUGAGGAUCGAAAGCGUGGGUAGCAAACAGGAGUAGAAACCCUAGUAGUCC
Molecule: ribosomal RNA, 274 nt
Filed under: uncultured bacterium
Lineage: Bacteria
Description: partial 16S ribosomal RNA
Rfam family: Bacterial small subunit ribosomal RNA
Source: RNAcentral